Molecule: ribosomal RNA, 973 nt
Filed under: human gut metagenome
Description: bacterial LSU rRNA
Rfam family: Bacterial large subunit ribosomal RNA
Source: RNAcentral
AGGUAGCGAAAUUCCUUGUCAGGUAAGUUCUGACCCGCACGAAUGGCGUAAUGAUUUGGGCACUGUCUCGACAGCCCGCCCGGCGAAAUUGUAGUACUGGUGAAGAUGCCAGUUACCCGCAACUAGACGGAAAGACCCCAUGGAGCUUUACUGCAGUUUAAUACUGGGAAUCGGUAAUGCAUGUACAGGAUAGGUGGGAGACUAGGAAGCAUGGUCGUCAGGUCAUGUGGAGUCACCGGUGGGAUACCACUCUUGUAUUGCUGAUUUCCUAACCUGCGGCCGUGAAUCCGGUCGGGGGACACUGUUAGACGGGCAGUUUGACUGGGGCGGUCGCCUCCAAAAGAGUAACGGAGGCGCUCAAAGGUUCGUUCAGCACGGACGGAAAUCGUGCAUUGAGUGUAAACGCAUAAACGAGCCUAACUGCGAGACCGACGGGUCGAGCAGUAACGAAAGUUGGAGUUAGUGAUCCGGUGGUAUGUGAGUGGAAAUGCCAUCGCUCAACGGAUAAAAGCUACCCUGGGGAUAACAGGCUGAUCUCCCCCAAGCGUCCACAGCGACGGGGAGGUUUGGCACCUCGAUGUCGGCUCGUCGCAUCCUGGGGCUGUAUUCGGUCCCAAGGGUUUGGCUGUUCGCCAAUUAAAGCGGCACGCGAGCUGGGUUCAGAACGUCGUGAGACAGUUCGGUCCCUAUCUGUUGCGGGCGUAAGAGAUUUGAAGGGAGCUGUCCUUAGUACGAGAGGACCGGGAUGGACGUACCUCUGGUGCACCAGUUGUCCUGCCAAGGGCAUAGCUGGGUAGCUAUGUACGGACGAGAUAAACGCUGAAAGCAUCUAAGCGUGAAACUCUCCCUAAGAUGAGAUCUCUCAUCCAUUAUGGAGUAAGGGCCCAGAAAGACGAUCUGGUUGAUAGGCCGGAGGUGGAAGCGCGGUAACGUGUGCAGCUGACCGGUACUAAUAGCCCGAGGGCUUGACCUA